AGAAACAAUUUGCUGAGAACAGAGUUUCGUUUCGAUUAUUUUAGACGCAGACCGAUGACGUCUGGUUUAUUUUUUGCGGUUUCCAUGUUCCUCGAUCCAGAAUCGACGAUUAAGUAGAGAAAUUGUAUCGGGAACGAUAAAUGUCGACGAUUUCCUUGACUCGUACUACUGUACGAGUCGCACAUGGUCAUAACAAUCCCUCGCGGUUUAGGAGAGCGAAUCGAUUUUUCUGCAAUCUUCUCAACAAGAUCGAUUGACCUUAAGACGAAGGCCAGCUUCGCAUUAGGAUUCACGAUUUGGCUUCUUUUGUUCGCAUGAAAAUUACCAAUUGCCUGACCAAUCCGAUAAAGAGUGCGUGUUUCAAGCCAACAACAGUAAUCAAACGAGACAUUGACAAUAAUUAAGGAGCUAUGGAACGACGAGACACUGGCAUCGAAUUCAGAGCUUUGGAAUGGACGGG
Long non-coding RNA from Osmia bicornis bicornis, 460 nucleotides. RefSeq lists it as uncharacterized. The record is from RefSeq and is a predicted model, not a curated record. The transcript has 3 exons. NCBI's taxonomy places the organism in Eukaryota, Metazoa, Arthropoda, Insecta, Hymenoptera, Megachilidae.